UACGUAGGUGGCAAGCGUUGUCCGGAUUUAUUGGGUUUAAAGGGUGCGUAGGCGGUCUAUUAAGUCAGUGCUGAAAUAUCCCGGCUUAACCGGGAGGUGCAUUGAGUACUGAUGGACUUGAGUGCAGUCGAGGUAGGCGGAAUUGACGGUGCAGCGGUGAAAUGCUUAGAUAUCGAUCAAGAACACCGAUAGUGAAGACAGCUUACUAGACUGUAACUGACGCUGAGCACGAAAGUGUGGGGAGUCAAACAGG
This 253-nucleotide ribosomal RNA is filed under the name uncultured bacterium. RNAcentral describes it as "partial 16S ribosomal RNA". It matches the Rfam family "Bacterial small subunit ribosomal RNA", at positions 524 to 776 of the family's 1533-position model. The record is from RNAcentral.